GCUGGGAUGGCCGAGUCGUUAAGGCGAGUGAUUUGAAUGGACAACGUCUUCCCCAAUAUCACUUGGUGUUUCACCGCGUAGGUUCAAAUCCUGCUUCCAGCG
Molecule: transfer RNA, 102 nt
Organism: Agaricus bisporus var. burnettii JB137-S8
Lineage: Eukaryota; Fungi; Basidiomycota; Agaricomycetes; Agaricales; Agaricaceae
Rfam family: tRNA
About the family: Transfer RNA (tRNA) molecules are approximately 80 nucleotides in length. Their secondary structure includes four short double-helical elements and three loops (D, anti-codon, and T loops).
Source: Rfam